ACACGGAGCGCACCUGGCGGUGAUUCUCGACACGAACCUACGAACCUCCUAACGCGCAAUGCAGUGCGUAAAGUGAGUUCUUCGAGUCUUUGUGUUAUACAUACGAAGCUCUAAUAGCUAGUUUACAGAUUUUUAUGCAAAUUCAUAUUGUAAAGAAUAUAAUUAAAAAAGCAGAUUGCUUUACCUACUAAGUAUUAUAGAAAGCAGUUGGAUAUUUUAUAUAUUUUUCAUAUAUAUGCAUUCUGUGCAAUUUUGUACUUUUGCUAUAAAUGCAUAAAAAUCUGCAGUAUAUUGAUAACGGAGGUAAUUAGUGUGGACUGAAGAAGAUAGAAAGAAAACAAUCAUAAAAUCGACCACUCGAUUCGUGCUGAGGAUUAAUUGAAAGGUGACGUCAAAGUGCCGCGAUUCAGUUGUAACGCACCGGUCGAAGAUAUUAACACAUACUGUUGACUUGGAAUAUGUAGUGAUCGAUUGUUAGUUCUUUGUGAAUGGUUAUUCAUGGAAAUUUAUGGUCAUGGGUAGAUAAAUUGCUUAUGGACAUAUUAUGUAUCGUAUUAAAGCUUUAUGACGAUUGUUAGAAAAUGAAGAAAUUUUAAAGCAAGCAAUGACAAUAUCAUUUAAAACAUGAAACAGGAUAAAACAAACUAUACAGUGAAAGUUCGAAAGCGAUGGAAGAACUCAGUAAAAGUUUGUGCAAAAUAAUUUGUAUAAUUGUAUUAGCGGGAUGAGACAAUAACAAUCAUGACAAUUAAUGUUGCAUUUAAUAUAUUUCACAUGCGUUGUAAAAGAAUUUAAGUUACAAGUUAUUAGUAUAGUAAUUAUUAUACAUGUACAAAUAACUUAUUUAUUAUUUAAUAGCAUUUAAACAUUAUAAUAUAUAGCACUUUCAUAGAUAAAAUGAAGUUAUGAAUUGAAUGAAUUCAAUAAAAUAGACAAUUUUUUAAAUAUGAAUUAGCUUGUUCUUAUAAGCAAAAUAUUAAUGGCGUUAUACGUAGUUAGUAUGUAGUUAAUAAAUAUUUUCAUUUCACUUUUUCAUUAUCGAUUUCUCAUAAAAACAUGUCUCAUAAAUGUACGUGAAAGCUAUGAGUAAUAGUAAACAGUGAAAGUUAAUUAAUUAUUAGUCAUCAAUCAUCAUUCACAACAUACCAAUCUGUAUUAAUCUGUAUUAUAUUUUAUAUUUAAUACUUUAUCACGUGAGAGGAACGACAAUUUUUCAAAUAAUCCAUUCGUAAAUUUAAAUACUUCAUUUCGUUAAGAACAAGAUUCAACACAAGAGGGCGCUAAAAGUGCAUGCGAAACGUCGAAAUUGAUCAUUAGCCAAAAUUUUAUCCGUAUUACGAGACGAAAGAAUUUAUGAUGACGUGACAUAUUCAGGAAAAAACUGACACGUGUGCAUCCGGCUGCAAUAGUGUGCGUGGACAACAGAUGUAUCUCGAUUCAGAGUCACGUGUUCAUCACUGCUAAUUUUUCGUCUUACACGUACCAUGUAACAGUAUUGUCAAAAGGAUCAUAGCACGUAGUGGUCACGUAUAGUGCUAUAGGUUGUGCAUGUUUCGUAUUGCGUAAGCUCUCGCAAAGAUUGUACAAUGCUUGUAAACGACCGAUCUAAUUCCAUCCAUCUACGAGCAUCAUUGAUCGCAAUAUUGAUUACAUAUAUUAAAUGCAACUAAAUUAGACCAUCAUUGGCAAGUAAUAAAGAUAGGCAUUGAAAAGCGGCGACGAAAAAUUAGACGCAAUUCUAGUGUGAUAAUUUAUUAGAUGUUCUUUUUAUACAAUGUAUUAUGUAUCUGCAUGCACUUAGAACCAUGAAAAACUCUUCACAAAUAAUAUGCAACAUGUAAAUUAUGUAUAUACAUAAAUGUAACGAAAAUUGGAAUUUUAUUAAUCUUAUAUAAUUUCUAUUUCUCUAACGAGAGUAACUUUUAAAUUCCAGUUCUUCUUCCCGUACCAUAUUGUAUGAAAAGAGAAUUUAUUACAAUAGCUGAAAAGAUACAAAUAUUUCCACUGUUAUGACAGACAUAUGUAUGUUAUCGGUUAUAGGUUAUAUUGAUAAGUAAUGUGAAGCAACUUAUAUUCUUUCUCUCUUUAAAAUUAAUUAUUAAGCUCAAAUUAUAUAUAAAAUAUUUCCAUACAUAAAUUCGAAGAGUUUUGAUGUUUCAGAUUAUAAAAUACACGAAUUGUCAUCGUUAUCGAGCACUAAGUGUUGCGCACUUUAAAAUAUUCUUUCGAAGUCACGCGUUAAUAGAUCACGUGACGAAAGGUGAUUUAAGCGAAAGUAACUUUUUUUUUGCUAUUCACUUAAACGUAAUUUAUUUUUCUUAAAACUAAUAUCCCUUUCAAUUUAUUUAAGAAUUGAAGUAAAAAUAAUUUCGUUCUUCAAGCGAAAUUUAAUUACUUUAUAGAUAUCAAAAACGUAAUUAUGAACAAAUUCUGUACAGCGCUCGUUUAAAGCAUAAAUUCAAAAUGUUAAGUCGUUAAUUUUGUUACUUUUAAGAUUUGUAAAACAAUAGCUAUAUACAUAUAACUUGAACUUGACUUGUACAUCUAUACAUUAUCGUAUGAUCGUACGAUAUCACAUUACAAUAUGAAAACAUGUAGCUCCUUAGAAAUUUACGUAUGCGAUGUACAAUAAAAUAUCGAGCGAUGCUUUCAGUAUAGGCCCAUACUAUUUCAAGAUACAAAGUGUUUGACUGGGUGUAGACUAAAUGUCAGUCAAGGUCGAAUCUCAUUGCAGGUCAAACAUCAGCGUUUGCAUCAGUUUUUCGGUAUGAAAUAAUCAAUAAAAAUUUAUAAAAACGCAUGACACUUUUCAUUUCAACUUUCAAUAAAUUAUUCAUUCAAGAAUACGUACAAACAUAACUUACCUUAUAUUGAUGAGAUGAUUUCUAACUUGAAACGUGCGUCUACGUAUGUCGUACGAUUUGCUGGUUGGAAAGCGACUGAGGUAAACCUAGGGUAUUCGUUGGUUUCAAAGACUGAACAAGAAUGAUAUUGGCGCAAGCGCAUUCUCUAUAAUCGUAGAGGUUCUCAACAUUGGCUCGACUAACCGUUGUUAUAACCAAAAUAACGUACGUAGGUACGUAAAUAUAGAAUUAAACACCACGGAUAUUUCAGUGGCAAAAGUACGUUAUUACGAGUUUGAAAAUAGAAUGGUUUUUUUAUACAGAAAAAAUAUUAUUUGAAAUAAUUUUGUAAAUGAAAAAAUUUGCUUUGUUUUUUCUAGUAAUAUGUGGUAUACAGAGUAUUUUGAGUGCUAUAGUUACUUUACACAAAUGCGCAUCACAUGAAACAUUUAAAAUUAGAUUAUAGUUAUACAAUAGAUGCUUGAAAUAAAAUUAUUCGAGCACGGUAAACAAUAAAGAUCCAAAUUUAAGAUAACAAAAUAUUGCAUUGAAGCUUUUCUUUAAACUUCUUUCAAUGAUCCCAACAACUUAGAAAUACACAGAGAUAAAUACGUAUAAAUACAAUUAAAAGUAAAUAAUAAGUAAAUAUAAUUAAGAUCAUUCACAAUAAAAUAAGAAUUAAUGUUAUUCUGUUUACAUAUUAUCCGCCAUGUGUAUAUCGAAAAAAUGUAUAUAUACAAAUAAAGAUACUUCCUCGAAUAAACUAAAGUACCACAUGUGUUCGUUUAAAAUCUUUGUAUUUAUUUUUUACAUGGUUCUAUUGUUUGUUUUCCAAGACAACGAAUUAAAAAUAAAUGUGUCCAAGUGGGAUAUCAUAUUUAAUAAUUGUUUCAUAGCUACGACACUGCCAAGCAUACGUGCUGAUGAUCCCGUCCAUAAAGCCUAAAAGGAUAAGGGGGACAUGGGAAUUGGUGGGGAUUCAUGGAAAUGACGACGUAUCGACCCUUAAGUAACGGACCAAAUUCUCGGACGUUAUACGACUCAACUCGCACGUACCGUCGCGGAAGCCUUCAAUUGAGAGUCUCUGGUUUAGAGGUCAGUCAAGGGCACCUUUCGUGACAUUCGUCGAAUUUAUUAACGAAAUUUUUCGAUGUAAGGUUGACGUACCCUCACACACACACAUUAUGAAACGUCUUUUCGUUGAAACGUCUUUAUCAUUGCGCGAUAUAGUUUAUUGAUAAGAUGUAUUCAUGAGAUGUCAUUUCAUGAUGACGUAGUCAUGAUCUGACGUUCAAGGUGUUCGAGUGAAUUGAUAAGCAAUCACAUGUAAUUGGAAUUUGCAUGAUGCAACUGAAGAUUGAAUAUUGAAAAGAAUUCUGAUAUUCGUUUGCACACAGGUAUAAUUAUAACUUCGUAACUUUUAAUUGGAUAUUUGUUAACUGAUCGAUAAUUUUAACGAGAAUUCCUAGUGCACACACCGUUUUCAGGUUCUAAUUCUCCUAACGAAGCUUGGGAGCAGAGCUUCGCUCUUUCUAAAAAUGCUGCUUGAGCAUCUUGCACUUUAUCUGGAUUUCCUCUCCACGUUUUCAAUGCUGCAUUCUUUGAAAAGAGUUAGGAUAUUUGAAGAUACUUGUAAAGCACGUCCGUAGCAAAACGUAAGAGGC
Molecule: long non-coding RNA, 4507 nt
Organism: Bombus terrestris (buff-tailed bumblebee)
Lineage: Eukaryota; Metazoa; Arthropoda; Insecta; Hymenoptera; Apidae
Exons: 3
Source: RefSeq, a predicted model, not a curated record